Molecule: ribosomal RNA, 253 nt
Filed under: uncultured bacterium
Lineage: Bacteria
Description: partial 16S ribosomal RNA
Rfam family: Bacterial small subunit ribosomal RNA
Source: RNAcentral
UACGAAGGGUGCAAGCGUUACUCGGAAUUACUGGGCGUAAAGCGUGCGUAGGUGGUGAGUUAAGUCUGUCGUGAAAGCCCCGGGCUCAACCUGGGAAUGGCGAUGGAUACUGGCUCGCUAGAGUGCGGUAGAGGAGAGUGGAAUUCCCGGUGUAGCAGUGAAAUGCGUAGAGAUCGGGAGGAACAUCAGUUGCGAAGGCGGCUCUCUGGACCAGCAAUGACACUGAGGCACGAAAGCGUGGGGAGCAAACAGG